RNAcentral lists this long non-coding RNA (2658 nucleotides) under Gossypium barbadense (sea-island cotton). Its description in RNAcentral is "long non-coding RNA (GBAR_LNC010650)". The record is from RNAcentral. Lineage: Eukaryota; Viridiplantae; Streptophyta; Magnoliopsida; Malvales; Malvaceae.
UUUCAAGCUUCCAAGCUCCAUAGUAAGUGAUUCCAAGCCCCGUUUUUAAUGUUCUUUACGUUUUUGGAAUCCCGGUAGCUCGAUUAAGCUUAUGCUAGCAAUAAUUCAACCUAGGAUUUAUAUUUGGAAAAAAUACCCAUAGGUGAAAUUUGUGUAUUUUGAUGUUUUAUGAUAGAAUAUGAGGUUUUAAAUUAUGUUAGACAACUUGUGCUACUCGGUUUUGAGUGAAAACGAGUAAAAGGGCUUAAUCGGCAAAAAUACCUAAUAGUCACAAGUAUAUGUUAGAGAGAGAAUUUGAUGUUGCCAUAGAAGGGAAAAGUGAUCAGCAUGUUAUAAAACAUAAGAAUAAGGAAUAAAGUUUAAUUUCCGAGCCUAGGGGCAAAAGUGUAAUUAUGCAAAAGUUUAGGGGCAAAAGUGUAAUUUUUCCAAAGUUCGUAUUAAAUGCUGUUUUGAUGAAUGUAUGUAUUAAAUAAGAUUAAUUUGGCAUUAUAGAUCAAGAGAAACGAGAUUCAAGUCGCGAUCGAGGAAAAGAAAAGAUUGUGGACUAAAUUGCAAAAUCUUUAUAUUUUGGUACCAAGGUAAGUUCAUGUGUAAAUAAUGUAGCAUAAAUGUUAUUUUUAAGUUAUUAAUGUUAAUUAUAUGAUAUGCUGAUUUUUAAUCAUGAAAUAUUAUGCUUUGUGGUUAAUGUUGAGUAAUAUGCAAAUUAUGUUUACUACUUGAUAAAUAUGAAUUGCUACUGAGUAUCGGUUCCGAUAUUCCAUGGAAGACGACAAAUGUGAGAUCGAGGGAAAAAGCCCGUUUGAACCUUAGGAAUAUAUUAGGAUACAAGUGACAUGUCACUAGGAUGGUUGAGCAUCCGAACUCGUUGAGUUGAGUCCGAGUUCACCUAUGGAUGCGAAUGUCCGAACUCGUUGAGUUGAGUCCGAGUUCGUGAAAUGUAACUAGGCAUCCGAACUCGUUGAGUUGAGUCCGAGUUCACUUAUGGAUGCGAACGCCCGAGCUCGUUGAGUUGAGUCCGAGUUUACUUAGGGGCGGGUUACAUGAUUUGUUGAUUACAUAUGAGGCACUUAUGUGCAAAUUAUCCGUGUAUCCGAGUUGUAUUCCGAUGUGUUCAACGGGUGAAAUUUCUAGUGAAAUGGAAGAACACUUAAGAUGCAACUGACGUUUUGGUAAGUGUUGUGAAAUGGACACUUUGGACAGGUAUGUUCUUAACCCUCGGGUUGAAAAUAGAUACAACAACGAUAAGGUGGUAAGAUGAUGAAUGAUGUUUAGAAAUGUGAUAUAUGUUUUGGUGAUACCAUGCUAAAGUUGUUUGGUAUAUUUGUAUUGUUAUGUUACUUGUUAUUUACAUAUGAAUUUACUAAGCAUUUAUGCUUACUCCUUCCUUUUCAUUCACUGUAGUUUUGAACAAGCCGGCUCAGGAAUUAGGACAGGUCGAAAGUUCGAUCACACUAUCCAAAGGACUUUUAUCUUGGUAAAUGGCUUGUACAACUACUUAAGUAUGGCAUGUAUAGCAAUAUACUUAUUUUGUGUAAAUAAUUUUAUGAUAUGGCCAUGUUUGGUUGAGAAAAUGUUUGAUAUUGAUAAGUCAUGGUGAUGGCUAAUUUAGAUCAUGUUUGAUAUUAUGGAAGUUUAAUAGGUUAUUUAGUUCAUAAAAAUUCAUGGAAAGAUGAAACUUGCCUUAAAACAGAAUAUUGCUGCAACAAUGACAUGAAUUUGAAAAAUCACUAAAAAUAGUAUAAAUGGAACUAAAUAAUGAGAAAGUUAUGAAAUUGAAGCUUAAUGAGUCUAUUUUCAUGUGGAUUGAACAAAACAGGCAUAUAAAUUAUAUUUUAUGAGAUAUUUAAACUUUUGUGAAACAGGGGCAGAGUGAUUUCUGGAUCCCCUAUUCUGACUUUAAAAAUUCAUAAUAAAUUUUAAAAAAAAUAAUUAUAGUUGUUAUUUAUAUGUACAGAUUACUUAUUGAGUCUAGUUUUAAGAAACACAAACCUCGUAGUCAUUGAAAUUCUGUAUAGAGAGAUAUCUGAUUCGUAAUACACAUAUAUUAGAGCAGUCGAUCCCUGAAACAGGGGAGACUUUAACUAAUAAACUGUACUAAUUGGCCCAACCAAAAAUUCUAGAAAAAAAUUAGUAAAUAUAUAUAUGAGUCUAGAUUUAUGGAAAAUUUACGGAUCUUGAUUUUGAGUUUCGUAACUCGAGAUAUGAUUUUUCUUGUAACUGUGACGCGGGUAGUUAGAAAGCUGUGAAUGUAGAAACAAAUAAUUUGAUAAAUUAUGUUCGGUAACCCCUCAAGCUCGACUCCGACGAUGGUUUCGGGUGUGGGGGCGUUACAGUUUUCGUGAUGAGAUUGAAGCUAUGGUUAGACAAUUCAUUUGGGGGUCCACUAGUGGUAAUAAAAGAAUUACUUUGGUAAGCUGAGAUUAGGUUUGCCAACCUAAAUCGCAUGAGGGUCUUGGUAUAAGGUAUCUUCAUGAUCAUAAUACUUCUUUCAUAAUGAAGCUAGGAUUUAAAUUAGUGACUGAUCAUUCUUCUUUAUAGGCUAAUGUGCUUCGGUCUAAGUAUGGGGUUCAAGGUGGAUUACCAGAGUCUUGUGGAGAUCUUUAUUGAAGAUUUGGCCGCUCAUACGUGAGAAUUUGCUCUGGUCAGUUGAUGAUGGAU